Long non-coding RNA from Trematomus bernacchii (emerald rockcod), 1397 nucleotides. RefSeq lists it as uncharacterized. NCBI's taxonomy places the organism in Eukaryota, Metazoa, Chordata, Actinopteri, Perciformes, Nototheniidae. The transcript is spliced from 12 exons. The record is from RefSeq and is a predicted model, not a curated record.
CCCUUUCGACCGCGAGGCGCUGGUCCCUGCAAGUCUUGUACACGUGCUUUCCCAUCAAACUCAUAACUCAGUAGACACGAUGUCUGGAUGUGCUGUAGAUGCAGGAGGAGGAUGUUCUGACCUUCAUUGUAGCAGGAACCAACCUGGCUCUCAGAUGGAGCAGCAUCUGCAAAAGAUACUGACAGUAGUGUGUACUUAACAAUGUGAUGGAGACCUGGGAACAGCCAGAGCCAUUUGGUGCCUAUUGAACCUGGGCAUGUUGGCAUCCUCUCCUCCAGGAAUACAGAGCAGGUAGUGUGUACUUUAUACCGUGAUGCAGACCUGGGAACAGCCGGAGCCAUUUGGUGCCUCUUGAACCUGGGCAUGGUGGCAUCCUCUCCUCCAGGAAUACAGAGCAGGUAGUGUGUACUUAACAAUGUGAUGAAGACCUGGGAACAGCCAGAGCCAUUUGGUGCCUCUUGAACCUGGGCAUGUUGGCAUCCUCUCCUCCAGGAAUACAGAGCAGGUAGUGUGUACUUUAUACCGUGAUGCAGACCUGGGAACAGUCGGAGCCAUUUGGUGCCUCUAGAACCUGGGCAUGUUGGCAUCCUCUCCUCCAGGAAUACAGAGCAGGUAGUGUGUACUUAACAAUGUGAUGAAGACCUGGGAACAGCCAGAGCCAUUUGGUGCCUCUUGAACCUGGGCAUGUUGGCAUCCUCUCCUCCAGGAAUACAGAGCAGGUAGUGUGUACUUUAUACCGUGAUGCAGACCUGGGAACAGCCGGAGCCAUUUGGUGCCUCUAGAACCUGGGCAUGUUGGCAUCCUCUCCUCCAGGAAUACAGAGCAGGUAGUGUGUACUUAACAAUGUGAUGAAGACCUGGGAACAGCCAGAGCCAUUUGGUGCCUCUUGAACCUGGGCAUGUUGGCAUCCUCUCCUCCAGGAAUACAGAGCAGGUAGUGUGUACUUAACAAUGUGAUGAAGACCUGGGAACAGCCAGAGCCAUUUGGUGCCUCUUGAACCUGGGCAUGUUGGCAUCCUCUCCUCCAGGAAUACAGAGCAGGUGUGGUGUCUGUGACUCAGGAUGCCUCUCUGGAGGGAGAGGUCUGACAUCUCCUGGUAGCUUAUGAAGUCACGCCUGUUCUCUACAUCUACAGGAGAUUCGGAGGAGGGGUGUUGUGACCAGACGACCACUAAAGACUGGUCUCAAGUCGAGAAGAAACUCAUGAGAAAUGCACAAUGCUUUUGUUGCACGUCUCUGUCCUCAGAUCAUCCUGAUGUUUCUUUUAUCUCCUUUGUGUCAAAGGACAGAGGCUGUAGGAUGCUGUACAGAUUGUUAACUUCCCCGAGGAAGUUGAUGUUGGACUAUAUGAAUGAAACUGCACUAAGCUGAGAAAUCAAUAAAGAUGGCUGAUUAUUC